Molecule: non-coding RNA, 30 nt
Filed under: Mus musculus (house mouse)
Lineage: Eukaryota; Metazoa; Chordata; Mammalia; Rodentia; Muridae
Source: RNAcentral
UGAAAGAUGAUGCCUUUGACAGGUGUUUUA